UUAAUGAAGAAUAAAAACAGCAAAAAUUUGACGGAAGUUGUAUGAGAGUAAACUCCCUUACUUCGGAACUCUUUUGCUUCAGUCACUGGGAACCCGAUGCCGCUGGCUUUUAGAGAACAAUCAGAAUGCUUUGAAUCAUUUUGGAAAGUUCCAGAAAGAAAAAGAAAUUCCAGACUUUCAAGGAACCAAAAAGACAA
Octopus sinensis (East Asian common octopus) is the source of this 197-nucleotide long non-coding RNA. RefSeq lists it as uncharacterized. The transcript is spliced from 2 exons. The record is from RefSeq and is a predicted model, not a curated record. NCBI's taxonomy places the organism in Eukaryota, Metazoa, Mollusca, Cephalopoda, Octopoda, Octopodidae.